ACGGGAUACAAGGGGAAUUAAAUUACUGGAUACAAAAUUUUCUUAGCAAUCGCAAACAGGCAGUAGUUCUAGAGGGGGAAAAAUCUGAGUAUGUUGCAGUUGAGUCAGGGGUUCCACAGGGGUCAGUUCUUGGACCAAGUCUCUUCUUGUACUAUAUAAAUGACAUUCCAACUGGUCUAACAUCUACAGUACGUUUAUUUGCAGACGACACAAUAGUUUAUUUGGCAAUAAAAUCAAACUCCGAUGCAUUAACAUUACAAAAAGAUCUAGACAAACUGGCAUCGUGGGAAACUACUUGGAAAAUGGCAUUCCACCCAGAUAAGUGUAAUGUAAUUUCAGUCACCAGAAAUAAAAAAAACCAAUCACAUUUAACUACACAUUACACAAUCAUUCAUUAGAACAUGUAACAACAGCAAAAUAUCUGGGGGUCACCAUCAGUUCCAAC
Molecule: long non-coding RNA, 445 nt
Filed under: Mytilus galloprovincialis (Mediterranean mussel)
Lineage: Eukaryota; Metazoa; Mollusca; Bivalvia; Mytilida; Mytilidae
Source: RNAcentral